This 409-nucleotide ribosomal RNA is filed under the name Bacillota bacterium. RNAcentral describes it as "Firmicutes bacterium partial 16S ribosomal RNA". It matches the Rfam family "Bacterial small subunit ribosomal RNA", at positions 355 to 776 of the family's 1533-position model. The record is from RNAcentral. Lineage: Bacteria; Bacillati; Bacillota.
UGGGGAAUAUUGCACAAUGGGCGAAAGCCUGAUGCAGCGACGCCGCGUGAGGGAUGACGGCCUUCGGGUUGUAAACCUCUUUCAGUAGGGACGAAGCGCAAGUGACGGUACCUACAGAAGAAGCACCGGCCAACUACGUGCCAGCAGCCGCGGUAAUACGUAGGGUGCGAGCGUUGUCCGGAUUCACUGGGCGUAAAGAGCUCGUAGGCGGUUUGUCACGUGGUCUGUGAAAACCCGAGGCUUAACCUCGGGCCUGCGGGCGAUACGGGCGGACUUGAGUACUGUAGGGGAGACUGGAAUUCCUGGUGUAGCGGUAGAAUGCGCGGAUAUCAGGAGGAACACCGGUGGCGAAGGCGGGUCUCUGGGCAGUAACUGACGCUGAGGAGCGAAAGCGUGGGUAGCGAACAGG